CAUGAGCCACUGCACCCAGCCUGCUUAUGACACAUUUCUAAAAGAAUCGCUGGGUCAAAUGCACAUGGCUCAAGGCUUUUGAUACAUAUUGCCAAACUGCACUCUAGAAAAGUGCUGCCAACAUACACUCUCAGCAAUAUAAGCAGCCCUGUUUCUCUGAAUCCUUGCCAGUAUUAUCAAGAAAUAACCACUUGUUAAAAUAGUGCCUGAAGACUAAAUUAAUGUUUAACAUGUUUUGUCACUCAUAAGUUGGGCUUACUAUUAAACUUUUAACUGUUAUAGUAUUACCAUUCAAAGCUUACACAUAUUUAAGAUGAAGAAACUGAGGUCUAGUAAAUUAUAAUUCAGACCCCUUUUAGUGUGAAUUUUAGCCCUGGAUAUACUGCAGUGCAGUCUUUUUUUUUUUAACUUGUACUAGCCUUACAGAUUUCCCAGAAAAAGGUAGACAUCUUCUUUAUUAAGUUGGAGGUCAGGAAUAUCCUAUUAGUUUAGUACUGUUUUUCCUGUUUCCUAGAUUGGAUUUUACAAAUUUUGUGUUAAGGAUAUCUGUUGACAUUUACUCAUUUAUUAUUUAAAAAGUCUAGCUAAUCUUGGAUAAGAAUUUUGUUGAUUCAUUCACUCACUAAUUUAACAGCAUUUAUCUAAUGCCUACCAUGUGUGAAGGAUAAAGUAGUGGAAAAAAACAGGUGUAGUUUAUAUUUUUGUAGGGUGAAGGGAGGUAGAAAAUAAACAGUGAAUAAACAAGAUAAUGAUAAAUUAUAAAUGCUAUUAAGAAAAUAGAGGGGCACGUGAUUGACAGAGAAUAAAUGGGAACGUGAGCUAUUUUAGAUACGGUGGCCAGGGAAGGCCUGUCAGAGAUAUUUGGGUUAACCUGAAGGAAGAGAAUGAGUCAGCCAUAUCCAAGACAGAAGACCACAUCCCAGGCAGAAAAAAAAUAAAUAAAUAAAAAAUAAAAAGCAAGUGCAAAGGCCCUGAGACAGAGUAUCAGGUAAGAUUAAAUUCAGUUGAGAACAAGAGACUCCAAAAUAGUGGCUUUAAUAAUAUAGACAUUUACGACUGCAGGGCUAGCAUGGUGCUCUGAUCCAUAAAGUUCUCACAGACCCUGGUUUCCACCAGUUUAGUUUUGCCAUCCCUAGAAUGAGAGAACUUGCAUGAGGCACAAAUUGGCAGCUACAGUUCUAAGCCAUCACAUCUAUAUUCCACGGUACAGGAUAAAGGAAAAGCCGCAUUGAAGGUGUGCACCAACUAUCUUUUAAGGAUGGUUUUACAAGUGUGCCACAUGAUAUACUGCUUACAUCCCAUCAGCCAGCACUAUUACAUGGCUACAAGGAAGGCUGCAAAAUAUAGUCUUUGUUCUGGGUAGCCAUGUAUCCAUGUCUAUUACUAUGAAAAAAAUGGAGGAAUUUUUGGGGACAACUAACAGACUCUGCUACAGACUAGAAAAAGCACAGCCCACGACAGAAAGGAGGCAGUAAGAAGGGUGAGAACAACUUCCUGUGCUGCUUCCUGGGAAGAUGGAGAAGUGGGCAGGAGCCAGAUUAUGCAGUCUUGAAGGCUAUGUAAAAUACUCAAGGUAAUAAAACUCUCAUAUCAGACUUACACCCUCUGGAAGUCAUUCCAUAGAGGUAUAUUCAAUCUUUUAACACACCAUCUUAUGGUUGAAGAUGUUAACAUGAGAAGGAGGAGAAAGCAGGAAGAGGAAGGGACUAUUUGCAGAAGACGGGGAGAAAGAAAGGAAAGACACUAGUAUGUGUUGUUCCUCCUCGAAUUUUCCUGAAGUGAAAAAAAAACAGUGAAGUAGAGUGUUUGAUGAAAUGAAUAACCAAGCAAAACAUUUUCUACCUACACCAGUACCACUAGGAGUUGAAAUAAAUUCACACAAUGUCUGCUGAUAUGUCAAAACACCUUACCUUCAAAAACAUGACAGUUACCUUUUAUUUUAUAGUAUGCUUGUGUUUCUUCCUAUUUCUUGCUUUUGACCUUCAAUGAUAAAUGUAAACUGGAUUACAGUGAUUCUUUUGUAAGUAAAAGGUGACUUUUUAAAAGAAACAACCAAUGGAAAUAGAAAUUUUAUUUACUUCAAAUUAACUGUACUUUACUCAAAUAGAAAAGAAUAAUUUUCACAUUAUGAAGCUACACAAUUCCAAAAUACACAUGCUGAGGCUCUUUUUAAGUCCGAAU
Molecule: long non-coding RNA, 2181 nt
Organism: Homo sapiens (human)
Lineage: Eukaryota; Metazoa; Chordata; Mammalia; Primates; Hominidae
Source: Ensembl